This 440-nucleotide ribosomal RNA is filed under the name uncultured bacterium. RNAcentral describes it as "partial 16S ribosomal RNA". It matches the Rfam family "Bacterial small subunit ribosomal RNA", at positions 338 to 795 of the family's 1533-position model. The record is from RNAcentral.
CCUACGGGUGGCAGCAGUGGGGAAUAUUGCACAAUGGGGGAAACCCUGAUGCAGCGACGCCGCGUGAGUGAAGAAGUAAUUCGUUAUGUAAAGCUCCAUCAGCAGGGAAGAAAAUGACGGUACGUGAGUAAGAAGACGCGGCUACCUACGGGCCAGCAGCCGGGGUAAUAUGUAGGGGGCAAGCGUGAUCCAGAUUUACUGGGUGUAAAGGGGGCGUAGACGGCAGUGCAAGGCUGGAGUGAAAGGCGGGGGCUCAACCCCCGGACUGCUCUUGAAACUGUACGGCUGGAGUGCAGGAGAGGUAAGUGGAAUUCCUAGUGUAGCGGUGAAAUGCGUAGAUAUUAGGAGGAACACCAGUUGCGAAGGCGGCUUACUGGACUGUAACUGACGUUGAGGCUCGAAAGCGUGGGUAGCAAACAGGAUUAGAUACCCUUGUAGUC